AGCCUCGUAGUGUAGCGGUAACACACCGCGUUUAAUUUGCCAGCAAUCCUUUAGGUAAACAUUUCACGUGGAGACCUACGUUCAAUUCGUAGCGAGGCUC
Molecule: non-coding RNA, 100 nt
Organism: Mycena galericulata
Lineage: Eukaryota; Fungi; Basidiomycota; Agaricomycetes; Agaricales; Mycenaceae
Source: the annotation of a GenBank genome assembly